This 506-nucleotide small RNA is filed under the name Pongo abelii (Sumatran orangutan). RNAcentral's name for it is "processed transcript". The record is from RNAcentral. Lineage: Eukaryota; Metazoa; Chordata; Mammalia; Primates; Hominidae.
CGCGGGCAGGCGCGGCGUCCCUGUCAGCGCCCGCGGCGAGGACCCCGGGGCCGGGGCUGACGGCGUGCCCCUGAGGGGGCUCCCCGCGGGAGCGCGGAGCCGGCGACUAGUGCUUCCCACGUGCGCCGGUGUCGCGAGGGCCCGGGAGGACGCAGAGCACGGCCGGGAGAAGCAUGGGAAGGAGGCCGAGCCGGGAUCUCAGGUCCUCGGGGGCGGCGGCCACGCCAAGGACGGCAUUUAUGACACUAACAGAGAACAGGACUAUGUCAAGAAUUCUGAGGGUAUCCUUGGUGAAAAUAAAUUAAGACCACCCUCCCAGCUACAUUGUGUCUUAGAGAAGAUCGAGACAGGGUCCCUAUCAGAAAAGAUACAAAGAUUUUUACCAACAAAAAAAAACAAGUAACUAUACUCAGGAAGAACUUCAAGACACUUACGGGUUUCUUCUGUUUGAUACUGAAAAGCAGGCAAAAUUGGUAUGUCAGCGUGGACUCCGUGUUGGCAGCAGU